AUUCAGAAUCAGGGGUCAUUGCGCCAGGCGGCAGGCCGAGGUCUCCAGAGCCUCCGAGCGUAAUCGUUUUUGUGUUUUCACGGCAGAAUUUGAAUUGCGUUGCAGAAUUGAAUUGCAGCUCAAGCUGCAUAACUGCCAUUCCAGUUCAAAGACACUAGUUCAUCAUGUCAAGAUGCGGGUGAGAAGACCAUUAAGCGGAGUGAGUCUGUUAAUGUCACGUCUGAGGAAGGCGGCUGGAGUCAUUAUUGCUGUGGAAGUCGGGUGCUGUGCAGCAGGAUAUUGGGCUUUCAGAAAAACCAACAGAGACCAAGAGUUCCGUUUCUACCUGAGAAACAACUGGCCGACGGUGUUGGACGCUUACUACACGUUCUGCGGCCAACUGGGCGAGGAGUACCGACAGAUCGAACUGCGGGACAUCCAGGCCUGGCGAGGACGCACCCAGUGACGAAUUGAUUUUACCACGAUGUCUGCCGCGCUGAUAAAGGGUCUGACCCACCUGGUGUUCUGGUCCGGCAUGGGCUACAUGCUGAUGCAGGUGGUCACGCCCAGUGACGACGAGAUCAGAAAGAAAUUACCGGGCGGCCAGAACUCGGCGUCGUCCGACCCCAGCCACAACAAGCUGGUUAUGGAGGCCAUGAAACGGUCGGCCGGGGUCAAGGACAAGUGACCAGCGCCGCGACCAACCCCCUAGUGCAAUCGAACUCGUGUGGAGAACGGUAACCGAGUGAGUGGAACCGAAACCAGUGAUUAUGACCCACUUGAUGCCGUUACCUCGCUGGGACAGGAUAGAUAGUGUUUUUAAACGUGUGAGCUGCGUUGCAUUGUGUGAACGAUUGUCGCGAUUUGCUGUUUUGGAAUAGAGUGUACGAGUAUUACAUGGCUUGUUCUGCGCAUUUAUCGCGCAAGGCAUUAGCGAUACCCGAUGAUAAUUCCCUUGACAAGAAGUCCGACCCUAAAAUAAACAUUUUCAAUGUUA
Molecule: long non-coding RNA, 976 nt
Filed under: Amphibalanus amphitrite
Lineage: Eukaryota; Metazoa; Arthropoda; Thecostraca; Balanomorpha; Balanidae
Description: uncharacterized LOC122378203, transcript variant X4
Source: RNAcentral